ACGGGGCCGCACAAGCGGUGGAGCAUGUGGUUAAUUCGACGCAACGCGAAGAACCUUACCAGGGCUUGACAUCCCCUGACCGCGUAUGAAAGUACGUUUUCACCUCGGGUGACAGGGAGACAGGUGGUGCAUGGUUGUCGUCAGCUCGUGUCGUGAGAUGUUGGGUUAAGUCCCGCAACGAGCGCAACCCCUACGUUUAGUUGCUAACGCGUGAAGGCGAGCACUCUAGACGAACUGCCGUUGACAAAACGGAGGAAGGUGGGAUGACGUCAAAUCAUCAUGCCCCUUAUGUUCUGGGCUACACACGUGCUACAAUGGCCGGUACAGACGGACGCAAAGCCGCGAGGUGGAGCAAAUCCUAAAAAGCCGGUCUCAGUUCGGAUUGCAGGCUGCAAUUCGCCUGCAUGAAGUCGGAAUCGCUAGUAAUCGCAGGUCAGCAUACUGCGGUGAAUACGUUCCCGGGCCUU
RNAcentral lists this ribosomal RNA (467 nucleotides) under uncultured Pelotomaculum sp. RNAcentral's name for it is "bacterial SSU rRNA". It matches the Rfam family "Bacterial small subunit ribosomal RNA", at positions 917 to 1381 of the family's 1533-position model. The record is from RNAcentral. Lineage: Bacteria; Bacillati; Bacillota; Clostridia; Eubacteriales; Desulfotomaculaceae.